This 1738-nucleotide ribosomal RNA is filed under the name Staphylococcus aureus. RNAcentral describes it as "partial 23S ribosomal RNA". It matches the Rfam family "Bacterial large subunit ribosomal RNA", at positions 231 to 1969 of the family's 2925-position model. The record is from RNAcentral. Lineage: Bacteria; Bacillati; Bacillota; Bacilli; Caryophanales; Staphylococcaceae.
UCGAUUCCCUUAGUAGCGGCGAGCGAAACGGGAAGAGCCCAAACCAACAAGCUUGCUUGUUGGGGUUGUAGGACACUCUAUACGGAGUUACAAAGGACGACAUUAGACGAAUCAUCUGGAAAGAUGAAUCAAAGAAGGUAAUAAUCCUGUAGUCGAAAAUGUUGUCUCUCUUGAGUGGAUCCUGAGUACGACGGAGCACGUGAAAUUCCGUCGGAAUCUGGGAGGACCAUCUCCUAAGGCUAAAUACUCUCUAGUGACCGAUAGUGAACCAGUACCGUGAGGGAAAGGUGAAAAGCACCCCGGAAGGGGAGUGAAAUAGAACCUGAAACCGUGUGCUUACAAGUAGUCAGAGCCCGUUAAUGGGUGAUGGCGUGCCUUUUGUAGAAUGAACCGGCGAGUUACGAUUUGAUGCAAGGUUAAGCAGUAAAUGUGGAGCCGUAGCGAAAGCGAGUCUGAAUAGGGCGUUUAGUAUUUGGUCGUAGACCCGAAACCAGGUGAUCUACCCUUGGUCAGGUUGAAGUUCAGGUAACACUGAAUGGAGGACCGAACCGACUUACGUUGAAAAGUGAGCGGAUGAACUGAGGGUAGCGGAGAAAUUCCAAUCGAACCUGGAGAUAGCUGGUUCUCUCCGAAAUAGCUUUAGGGCUAGCCUCAAGUGAUGAUUAUUGGAGGUAGAGCACUGUUUGGACGAGGGGCCCCUCUCGGGUUACCGAAUUCAGACAAACUCCGAAUGCCAAUUAAUUUAACUUGGGAGUCAGAACAUGGGUGAUAAGGUCCGUGUUCGAAAGGGAAACAGCCCAGACCACCAGCUAAGGUCCCAAAAUAUAUGUUAAGUGGAAAAGGAUGUGGCGUUGCCCAGACAACUAGGAUGUUGGCUUAGAAGCAGCCAUCAUUUAAAGAGUGCGUAAUAGCUCACUAGUCGAGUGACACUGCGCCGAAAAUGUACCGGGGCUAAACAUAUUACCGAAGCUGUGGAUUGUCCUUUGGACAAUGGUAGGAGAGCGUUCUAAGGGCGUUGAAGCAUGAUCGUAAGGACAUGUGGAGCGCUUAGAAGUGAGAAUGCCGGUGUGAGUAGCGAAAGACGGGUGAGAAUCCCGUCCACCGAUUGACUAAGGUUUCCAGAGGAAGGCUCGUCCGCUCUGGGUUAGUCGGGUCCUAAGCUGAGGCCGACAGGCGUAGGCGAUGGAUAACAGGUUGAUAUUCCUGUACCACCUAUAAUCGUUUUAAUCGAUGGGGGGACGCAGUAGGAUAGGCGAAGCGUGCGAUUGGAUUGCACGUCUAAGCAGUAAGGCUGAGUAUUAGGCAAAUCCGGUACUCGUUAAGGCUGAGCUGUGAUGGGGAGAAGACAUUGUGUCUUCGAGUCGUUGAUUUCACACUGCCGAGAAAAGCCUCUAGAUAGAAAAUAGGUGCCCGUACCGCAAACCGACACAGGUAGUCAAGAUGAGAAUUCUAAGGUGAGCGAGCGAACUCUCGUUAAGGAACUCGGCAAAAUGACCCCGUAACUUCGGGAGAAGGGGUGCUCUUUAGGGUUAACGCCCAGAAGAGCCGCAGUGAAUAGGCCCAAGCGACUGUUUAUCAAAAACACAGGUCUCUGCUAAACCGUAAGGUGAUGUAUAGGGGCUGACGCCUGCCCGGUGCUGGAAGGUUAAGAGGAGUGGUUAGCUUCUGCGAAGCUACGAAUCGAAGCCCCAGUAAACGGCGGCCGUAACUAUAACGGUCCUAAGGUAGCGAAAUUCCU